GACGAACGCUGGCGGCGUGCUUAACACAUGCAAGUCGAACGGAAAGGCCCUGCUUUUGUGGGGUGCUCGAGUGGCGAACGGGGGAGUAACACGUGAGUAACAUGCACUUGACUUUGGGAUAACUUCAGGAAACAGGGGCUAAUACCGGAUAGGAGAUCCUGAUGCAUGGUGGGGGUUGGAAAGAUUCGGCGGUUGGGGAUGGAUUCGAGGCUUAUCAGCUUGUUGGUGAGGUAGUGGCUGACAAAGGCUUUGAAGGGUAGCCGGCCUGAGAGGGUGACCGGCCACAUUGGGACUGAGAGACGGACCAGACUCGUACGGGAGGCAGCAGUGGGGAAUAUUACGCAAUGGGCGGAAGCCUGAUGCAGCAACGCCGCGUGCGGGAUGACGGCCUUCGGGUUGUAAACCGCUUUCUCCUGUGACGAAGAGUGAGUGACGGUAAUGGGUAAAGAAGCACCGGCUAACUACGUG
This 468-nucleotide ribosomal RNA is filed under the name uncultured bacterium. RNAcentral's name for it is "partial 16S ribosomal RNA". It matches the Rfam family "Bacterial small subunit ribosomal RNA", at positions 28 to 507 of the family's 1533-position model. The record is from RNAcentral.